AGUGAACGCUGGCGGCGUGCUUAACACAUGCAAGUCGAACGAGAACGGGAUAUAGCUUGCUAUAUUUGUCAGCUAAGUGGCGCACGGGUGAGUAAUGUAUAGAUAACCUGCCCUCUAGAAAGGAAUAACAGUUGGAGACGACUGCUAAUGCCCUAUAUGCCUUUAAUACAUAAGUAUGCAAGGGAAACGCUUUAGUGCCAGAGGAUGGGUCUGUAUGGUAUCAGCUUGUUGGUGAGGUAAUGGCUCACCAAGGCUAUGACGCCUAACUGGUUUGAGAGGAUGAUCAGUCACACUGGAACUGAGACACGGUCCAGACUCCUACGGGAGGCAGCAGUGGGGAAUAUUGCACAAUGGACGAAAGUCUGAUGCAGCAACGCCGCGUGGAGGAUGACACAUUUCGGUGCGUAAACUCCUUUUAUAUAGGAAGAUAAUGACGGUACUAUAUGAAUAAGCACCGGCUAACUCCGUGCCAGCCGCCGCCGUAA
RNAcentral lists this ribosomal RNA (485 nucleotides) under uncultured bacterium. RNAcentral describes it as "partial 16S ribosomal RNA". It matches the Rfam family "Bacterial small subunit ribosomal RNA", at positions 29 to 523 of the family's 1533-position model. The record is from RNAcentral.